AACGAACGCUGGCGGCAUGCCUAACACAUGCAAGUCGAACGAGACCUUCGGGUCUAGUGGCGCACGGGUGCGUAACGCGUGGGAACCUGCCUUUAGGUUUGGAAUAACUCAGAGAAAUUUGAGCUAAUACCGGAGGAUGUCUUCGGACCAAAGAUUUAUCGCCUUUAGAUGGGCCCGCGUUGGAUUAGCUAGUUGGUGGGGUAAAGGCCUACCAAGGCGUCGAUCCAUAGCUGGUCUGAGAGGAUGAUCAGCCACACUGGGACUGAGACACGGCCCAGACUCCUACGGGAGGCAGCAGUGGGGAAUAUUGGACAAUGGGCGAAAGCCUGAUCCAGCAAUGCCGCGUGAGUGAUGAAGGCCUUAAGGUUGUAAAGCUCUUUUACCCGAGAUGAUAAUGACGGUAUCGGGAGAAUAAGCUCCGGCUAACUCCGUG
RNAcentral lists this ribosomal RNA (433 nucleotides) under uncultured bacterium. RNAcentral describes it as "partial 16S ribosomal RNA". It matches the Rfam family "Bacterial small subunit ribosomal RNA", at positions 29 to 507 of the family's 1533-position model. The record is from RNAcentral.